CACGCUGUAAACGAUGAGUGCUAGGUGUAGGGGGUAUCGACUCCCUCUGUGCCGCAGCAAACGCAUUAAGCACUCCGCCUGGGGAGUACGGUCGCAAGAUUAAAACUCAAAGGAAUUGACGGGGGCCCGCACAAGCGGUGGAGUAUGUGGUUUAAUUCGAUGAUACGCGAGAAACCUUACCUGGUCUUGACAUGCACGGAAUCUUGUGGAAACAUGAGGGUGCGCAGCAAUGCGAACCGUGACACAGGUGG
RNAcentral lists this ribosomal RNA (251 nucleotides) under uncultured bacterium. RNAcentral describes it as "partial 16S ribosomal RNA". It matches the Rfam family "Bacterial small subunit ribosomal RNA", at positions 796 to 1041 of the family's 1533-position model. The record is from RNAcentral.